AGUGAACGCUGGCGGCAUGCCUAACACAUGCAAGUCGAACGGCAACACAUUAAUAGCUUGCUCGUACGGGUGGCGAGUGGCAGACGGGUGAGGAAGGCAUCGGAAUCUACGUUGUCAAGGGGGGUAACUUAGGCAAACUUACGCGAAUACCACAUACAACCUACGGGUGGAAGCAGGUGCUCUUCGUAACUUACGCGAUGAAGUGAGCCGAUGUCGGAUUGGCUAGCUGUCGGGGUAAAGACCCGCUAAUCAGACGAUCCGUAGCUGGUCUGAGAGGAUGAUAAGCGCCACUGGGAGUGAGAGAUGGGCCAGACUGCUACGGGGGGCAGGAGUGGGGAAUAUUGGAAAACGGGAGUAAGGAAGAUCCAGCAAUAGCGCGUGGGUGAAGAAGGCCUUCGGGUUGUAAAGUAGUUGUGCUGGGAAAGAAAAGCAGCAGGUCCAGAAGAAGAUGUUAUGACGGUACCUAAAGAAUAAGCACCGGCUAACUCCGUG
RNAcentral lists this ribosomal RNA (492 nucleotides) under uncultured bacterium. Its description in RNAcentral is "partial 16S ribosomal RNA". It matches the Rfam family "Bacterial small subunit ribosomal RNA", at positions 29 to 507 of the family's 1533-position model. The record is from RNAcentral.